GCAGCCGCGGUAAUACGGAGGAUGCAAGCGUUAUCCGGAUUUAUUGGGCGUAAAGCGUUCGUAGGCGGUUUUAUAAGUCUGCUGUCAAAGUGCGGAGCUCAACUCCGUAAGAGCAGUGGAAACUGUGAGACUAGAGUGUGGUAGGGGUAGAGGGAAUUCCCAGUGUAGCGGUGAAAUGCGUAGAUAUUGGGAAGAACACCGGUGGCGAAAGCGCUCUACUGGACCACAACUGACGCUGAGGGACGAAAGCUAGGGGGGCGAAAGGGAUUAGAUACCCCUGUAGUCCUAGCCGUAAACGAUGAACGCUAGGUGUUGUCUGUAUCGACCCGGACAGUGCCGAAGCAAACGCGUUAAGUGUUCCGCCUGGGGAGUACGCACGCAAGUGUGAAACUCAAAGGAAUUGACGGGGGCCCGCACAAGCGGUGGAGUAUGUGGUUUAAUUCGAUGCAACGCGAAGAACCUUACCAAGGCUUGACAUGCCUCGAAUCCUUCAGAGAUGAGGGAGUGCCUACGGGAGCGAGGACACAGGUGGUGCAUGGCUGUCGUCAGCUCGUGUCGUGAGAUGUUGGGUUAAGUCCCGCAACGAGCGCAACCCUCGUUUUUAGUUGCCAGCAUUAAGUUGGGCACUCUAGAGAGACUACCGGUGAUAAACCGGAGGAAGGUGGGGACGACGUCAAGUCAUCAUGCCCCUUAUGUCUUGGGCUACACACGUACUACAAUGGUCGGGACAACGAGCAGCCAACUCGCGAGAGUGCGCUAAUCUCUUAAACCCGGCCUCAGUUCAGAUUGCAGGCUGCAACUCGCCUGCAUGAAGGAGGAAUCGCUAGUAAUCGCAGGUCAGCAUACUGCGGUGAAUCCGUUCCCGGGCCUUGUACACACCGCCCGUCACACCGUGGAAGUUGGCCACGCCCGAAGUCGUUACUCUAACCUUUCGAGGGGGAGGGCGCCGAAGGCAGGGCUGAUGACUGGGGUGAAGUCGUAACAAGGUAGCCGUACCGGAAGGUGUGGCUGGAUCACCUCCUUACAGGGAGACCUAACCCAUAACACGAGACAGUGGUGAGAGGAGUUGAGGAAUCAACGAAUCAAAUUGCAACUAAUUAAGUCAGUGAUUAUGAGGUCUACUCUAGGUCGUGCAGGAACCGAGUCAAGCUUCUAAAUGAUGGGGUGAUGGAUUGUUAUCCGAGAGUAGAGGAAGUCUGGAAGUUGUGAGAGCAGUGGAGAGUCUUCUAAUACUUGUGGAUUAUGGGCUAUUAGCUCAGGUGGUUAGAGCGCACCCCUGAUAAGGGUGAGGUCCCUGGUUCAAGUCCAGGAUGGCCCACUGAUUCGAUAAAGAAUCUAACUUGGAAUGGGGGUAUAGCUCAGUUGGUAGAGCGCCUGCUUUGCAAGCAGGACGUCAGCGGUUCGAGUCCGCUUACCUCCACCAACACCACUAAACGACUAAUGAACUAAGUUCAGCACUAAUGAGGCAAGUAGUCUAGCGAGGUAGUAGUACCAGCCUAAGACUAUAGAUAAUUCAUUAACUGCUGGGUUUACUCAGCGAGAACCAUGAAAACUGCAUAGUAAAAGUUGUGUAAAGCUGAAAAGUGUCAACUACGGCAACGAACCUCCCUGCUGAUUGUAGAGAGCGGAGUUGUGAGAAGUUGUCACCUAAAUUUGAAAUGAAGAGUUUCAAGUGUAGGCCUAAAGUAGUCGAAAAGUUACAACAACGAAGAUGAAGCGACGAGUGAUACGGAUUAGAGAUUAUGAGUGAGAGAUCACGAAGAAUCAUAAAGCUAGUGCGUAAAGCAAAGAGCGUUU
RNAcentral lists this unclassified non-coding RNA (1797 nucleotides) under uncultured cyanobacterium. RNAcentral describes it as "bacterial SSU rRNA". The stretch from base 1 to 1024 matches the Rfam family "Bacterial small subunit ribosomal RNA", at positions 511 to 1533 of the family's 1533-position model. The record is from RNAcentral. Lineage: Bacteria; Bacillati; Cyanobacteriota.